GAAGUAUAAUAAUAGCUACUGCUUCUUUUUGUAAAUGCAAAUAGAUUGAAACAUGUGAACACUUUUUAUUGCUUUUUCUUCAUUGACAAUUUCUUAGUUAAUUCAUAUUGAGACACAUCAGCCAAAUAUACUUAACUUAUUGUAAGGUAUUCCUUUGAUAUCCGGCAUUGAAAAUACCACAAUCAAUUUUUGUUCGAUAUCGAGAUUACUUUCUACUAUCAAGCAGACUGUCCAAACAUUUUCGUUUCAUUGGAUUACACGCUGCAGAAUAAAUUAAAAUGAAAAAUUUAGAACUUUGUUUGAGUGGAAGCACUUUUAUGGUUAAAUAUGUCAAAGAUAUGAUGAGUUCAAAGUGUGUAACCUAAUGUGUUUAAUGAUUAAAUGAAUAAAUAAACUCAGCAUAGUUACCAGGACUAAAUUUUUUACAUACGCCAGACGCGCGUUUCGUCUACAAAAGACUCAUCAGUGACGCUCGAAUCCAAAAAAGUUUAAA
Molecule: long non-coding RNA, 493 nt
Filed under: Mytilus galloprovincialis (Mediterranean mussel)
Lineage: Eukaryota; Metazoa; Mollusca; Bivalvia; Mytilida; Mytilidae
Source: RNAcentral